Capra hircus (goat) is the source of this 482-nucleotide long non-coding RNA. RefSeq lists it as uncharacterized. The record is from RefSeq and is a predicted model, not a curated record. Lineage: Eukaryota; Metazoa; Chordata; Mammalia; Artiodactyla; Bovidae. The transcript has 3 exons.
UCUUUCCCUCUGUGCCCUGGUUUCUUGUUAUGUAUUAUGGAACUUCCACCCAUGAAUCUUGUAAGACUCAUAAGAGGAAAAAUUCUUCAUCAAGCCCCACAGUUUGUGCAAUGCAGUGAUAGAAGGCUUUGAACAUUUUCAGUGACUGGAAUCAAUCUGAGAAAAGUCAUGCACAGACAGAAGACUUUUCAAGAUUUCAAAGACGAGAAAAGGAAGUUUCUGGUGAUGCUUUGGAACAUUCCAUGAGGUCCGCCGUCCAAGCUGACGGAUCCCCAGGACUGGGUUAGGGAGAUCCGAAAGAAGAGGCUCAUGUCCUUUCCCUGUGCCUAACAUCUUUCCCCUGUUUACUCAUUUGGCCAAUUUCCAUUCACUCCAUAGGUCUCAGAGAAGUCUUGUUUGACCUACAGCCUAGGCCAGACCUUUAGGUCUGCACUUUUUUGGGACUCUGUACUUCUCUGUCAUGUAACUCAUCACAAUUAAAA